RNAcentral lists this non-coding RNA (24 nucleotides) under Rattus norvegicus (Norway rat). Lineage: Eukaryota; Metazoa; Chordata; Mammalia; Rodentia; Muridae. The record is from RNAcentral.
CUCUACUAUGUGGAGGCAGGAAAC